UUACGCAUGCAAGUCGAGCGGGGAGAUGUAGCUUGCUACAUUACCUAGCGGCGGACGGGUGAGUAAUGCUUAGGAAUCUGCCUAUUAGUGGGGGACAACAUUCCGAAAGGAAUGCUAAUACCGCAUACGCCCUACGGGGGAAAGCAGGGGAUCUUCGGACCUUGCGCUAAUAGAUGAGCCUAAGUCAGAUUAGCUAGUUGGUGGGGUAAAGGCCUACCAAGGCGACGAUCUGUAGCGGGUCUGAGAGGAUGAUCCGCCACACUGGGACUGAGACACGGCCCAGACUCCUACGGGAGGCAGCAGUGGGGAAUAUUGGACAAUGGGCGAAAGCCUGAUCCAGCCAUGCCGCGUGUGUGAAGAAGGCCUUUUGGUUGUAAAGCACUUUAAGCGAGGAGGAGGCUACUUGGAUUAAUACUCUAGGAUAGUGGACGUUACUCGCAGAAUAAGCACCGGCUAACUCUGUGCCAGCAGCCGCGGUAAUACAGAGGGUGCGAGCGUUAAUCGGAUUUACUGGGCGUAAAGCGUGCGUAGGCGGCUUUUUAAGUCGGAUGUGAAAUCCCUGAGCUUAACUUAGGAAUUGCAUUCGAUACUGGGAAGCUAGAGUAUGGGAGAGGAUGGUAGAAUUCCAGGUGUAGCGGUGAAAUGCGUAGAGAUCUGGAGGAAUACCGAUGGCGAACGCAGCCAUCUGGCCUAAUACUGACGCUGAGGUACGAAGCAUGGGGAGCAAACAGGAUUAGAUACCCUGGUAGUCCAUGCCGUAACGAUGUCUACUAGCCGUUG
This 780-nucleotide ribosomal RNA is filed under the name Acinetobacter sp. RNAcentral's name for it is "bacterial SSU rRNA". It matches the Rfam family "Bacterial small subunit ribosomal RNA", at positions 49 to 825 of the family's 1533-position model. Lineage: Bacteria; Pseudomonadati; Pseudomonadota; Gammaproteobacteria; Moraxellales; Moraxellaceae. The record is from RNAcentral.